Molecule: ribosomal RNA, 440 nt
Filed under: uncultured bacterium
Lineage: Bacteria
Description: partial 16S ribosomal RNA
Rfam family: Bacterial small subunit ribosomal RNA
Source: RNAcentral
CCUACUGGAGGCAGCAGUGGGGAAUAUUGCACAAUGGGGGGAACCCUGAUGCAGCGACGCCGCGUGAGUGAAGAAGUAUUUCGGUAUGUAAAGCUCUAUCAGCAGGGAAGAAAAUGACGUUACCUGACUAAGAAGCCCCGGCUAACUCCGUGCCAGCAGCCGCGGGAAUACGUAGGGGGCAAUCGUUAUCCGGAUUUACUGGGUGUAAAGGGAGCGGAGACGGAUAUGCCAGUCUGAAGUGAAAGCCAAAGGCUACACCAUGGGAGUGCUUUGGAAGCUGUAAAACUGGAGUGCAGGAGAGGUAAGCGGAAUGCCUAGUGGAGCGGUGAAAUGCGGAGAUAUUAGGAGGAACACCAGUGGCGAAGGCGGCUGACUGGACUGUAACUGACGUUGAGGCUCGAAGGCGUGGGGAGCAAACAGGAUUAGAUACCCGUGUAGUC